RNAcentral lists this unclassified non-coding RNA (1745 nucleotides) under Venturia canescens. Its description in RNAcentral is "kH domain-containing, RNA-binding, signal transduction-associated protein 3-like, transcript variant X3". Lineage: Eukaryota; Metazoa; Arthropoda; Insecta; Hymenoptera; Ichneumonidae. The record is from RNAcentral.
UGUGCUGUGUCGAGCUGAGCGACGCCGUUCAGUGCCCGCCAUACUUGUUACUUUUAGGACGCAAAGAGCGUUCUUUUUUUAUCUUUAUCCUGCGAUUUGAUAUCGUAAUUAAAUAAAUUGCAGAAUACGUGCUGUUCCUUGACGACAUUGAGAAAUUUGUUUGUGCGCGUGUGCUGACAAUUUUUACAUUAUUAACUAUACAUCUCCAGAGUGAUAAGUCAAGAUGGCUGAGCGAUCGAGCAACGGCGAGUACAAUAAGUAUCAAAUGGACGAGAGCGGCGAUGGUGGCAAACCUCGAAUUCCUUUGGAAAAAGAACGCGAUGAUAAAGACCAUCAAGUUGACAAAGCCGGCGAGUACGUGCGGGAAUUGUUGCAAGAAAAAUUGGGUCUCGAUGCACAAAAAUGGCCAAACGCUCUUCGUCUCAUAGAUCAAGAGAUCCAGAAAACCCAAGCAAUCGGGAAGCCCCUGAGGGAUCCGAAGUACGUGGACAUUUAUCGAGAGAAGCCAAUUCGAGUUGCGGUUAAGGUGCUGGUUCCAGUCCGCGAACAUCCCAAGUUCAACUUCGUUGGUAAACUCCUCGGACCUAAAGGAAAUUCCAUGAAGCGUUUGCAGGAAGAAACGAUGUGCAAAAUGGCCGUUCUCGGCCGCGGCUCCAUGAAAGAUCGACAAAAGGAAGAGGAAUGUCGACUGUCGCUCGACCCUAAAUAUGCUCAUCUUUCCGACGAUUUGCACGUUGAAAUUGCAGCCCUGGCUCCACCGGCUGAGGCACAUGCGAGAAUCGCAUAUGCUCUCGCUGAGGUACGCAAGUACUUGAUACCGGACAACAAUGACAAUAUAAGGCAGGAACAGAUGCGCGAAAUGGAGCUGAGCAUGGUCGACGAACCUUCGUCUGGCGAUGACAGGAGACCCUCGGCACGUGGUGGUAUUUUGAGACCGAGCAGCAGACCAGCACCCCCACGCUCCACGAGAGGUCCGUCACGAAUUGCGACGAUUUUGCCACCCCCGUCGAGCCGUGGACCGAUAACGCGGCCGGUACCAGCCAAAACGAAGGUCUUCUCGAUUCUGGAUCGCGCUAGGGUUGCCAUGGACCAGAGCUACGGCUACGACGAUCCAACGCCACCACCAUCCAGUCGGGGCGCCUCGCAUCACGAUUAUGAUUAUCAUGGUUCGUCGAGCAGCAGCAGUCGCUACGGUGAUCGCCAUUACACAUCGUCGGCAACGGACGACGUUUAUCCGUCCUCGAGAUACACGACUUAUGAUUACGAGGACGAGCCGGCGCCGCAUUCCUCCCACGAUUAUUACGAAUCGUCUGACUAUCCAGGUCUAUAGAAGAGUCCUGCAGAUCGCGUUGGAACGCGCUCUCGUGGCUUGAAAUGUUUUUCAUCUCUCUGAAAUCUCGGAUUCGUGAAGUACCUCGAUGAGAAGAGAGAAAACGAAACAUAAAUUGCGCUGCUGAAUUUUUUUCUUUCAUCGAAUGUAACGGGGGAGGCAAUGAGAGAGAAAAAUGAGAGCAAAAAGAGAAACUAAAAGAAAAAAAACAAUAAGAAUGUAACUGCCAAAAUAACCGUCCGACGUCGCGGACAUUGCCCAAUUCUUUACAGGUUCGUCGAUUAUUCAAACUGUCGAAGAAUAUUUUAUAUUAUGUGCCUUAUAAACGAUAAAAAAUCAAAGAAACACAAACAAGCAACCGAUCACAAAUAAAGGACUCUGUGAGUCGCCAAAUCGAUAUUUAUUUAUACCUAAA